GAUGAACGCUGGCGGCGUGCCUAAUACAUGCAAGUCGAGCGAACAGAUGAGGAGCUUGCUCCUCUGACGUUAGCGGCGGGCGGGUGAGUAACACGUGGAUAACCUACCUAUAAGACUGGGAUAACUUCGGGAAACCGGAGCUAAUACCGGAUAAUAUAUUGAACCGCAUGGUUCAAUAGUGAAAGACGGUUUUGCUGUCACUUAUAGAUGGAUCCGCGCCGCAUUAGCUAGUUGGUAAGGUAACGGCUUACCAAGGCAACGAUGCGUAGCCGACCUGAGAGGGUGAUCGGCCACACUGGAACUGAGACACGGUCCAGACUCCUACGGGAGGCAGCAGUCGGGAAUCUUCCGCAAUGGGCGAAAGCCUGACGGAGCAACACCGCGUGAGUGAUGAAGGUCUUCGGAUCGUAAAACUCUGUUAUUAGGGAAGAACAAAUGUGUAAGUAACUAUGCACGUCUUGACGGUACCUAAUCAGAAAGCCACGGCUAACUACGUG
This 497-nucleotide ribosomal RNA is filed under the name uncultured bacterium. RNAcentral's name for it is "partial 16S ribosomal RNA". It matches the Rfam family "Bacterial small subunit ribosomal RNA", at positions 28 to 507 of the family's 1533-position model. The record is from RNAcentral.